AUUGAACGCUGGCGGCAGGCCUAACACAUGCAAGUCGAGCGAGCGGCGGACGGGUGAGUAAUGUAUGGGGAUCUGCCCGAUAGAGGGGGAUAACUACUGGAAACGGUGGCUAAUACCGCAUACUAUCGGAUGAACCCAUAUGGGAUUGGCUAGUAGUUGGGGUAACGGCUCACCCAGGCGACGAUCCCUAGCUGGUCUGAGAGGAUGACCAGCCACACUGGAACUGAGACACGGCCCAGACUCCUACGGGAGUCAGCAGUGGGGAAUAUUGCACAAUGGCCGAAAGCCUGAUGCAGCCAUGCCGCGUGUAUGAAGAAGGCCUUAGGGUUGUAAAGUACUUUCAGCGGGGAGGCGUUACCCGCAGAAGAAGCACCGGCUAACUCCGUGCCAGCAGCCGCGGUAAUUC
This 406-nucleotide ribosomal RNA is filed under the name uncultured bacterium. RNAcentral describes it as "partial 16S ribosomal RNA". It matches the Rfam family "Bacterial small subunit ribosomal RNA", at positions 30 to 526 of the family's 1533-position model. The record is from RNAcentral.